GACGAACGCUGGCGGCGUGCUUAACACAUGCAAGUCGAACGAAAAGAGGGAAAGAGCUUGCUCUUUCCGGAAUUGAGUGGCAAACGGGUGAGUAACACGUAAACAACCUGCCUUCAGGAUGGGGACAACAGACGGAAACGACUGCUAAUACCGAAUAAGUUCCAAGGGCCGCAUGGCCCAUGGAAGAAAAGGUGGCCUCUACCUGUAAGCUAUCGCCUGAAGAGGGGUUUGCGUCUGAUUAGCUGGUUGGAGGGGUAACGGCCCACCAAGGCGACGAUCAGUAGCCGGUCUGAGAGGAGGAACGGCCACACUGGAAUUGAGACACGGUCCAGACUCCUACGGGAGGCAGCAGUGGGGAAUCUUCCGCAAUGGGCGAAAGCCUGACGGAGCAACGCCGCGGGAGUGAUGACGGCCUUCGGGUUGUAAAACUCUGUGAUCCGGGACGAAAAGGCAGAGUGCGAAGAACAAACUGCAUUGACGGUACCGGAAAAGCAAGCCACGGCUAACUACGUG
This 513-nucleotide ribosomal RNA is filed under the name uncultured bacterium. Its description in RNAcentral is "partial 16S ribosomal RNA". It matches the Rfam family "Bacterial small subunit ribosomal RNA", at positions 28 to 507 of the family's 1533-position model. The record is from RNAcentral.